ACAUAACAAGAUUCAGUAAUAAAUCUUUUGGAGCAAAAACAUAUAUUUAACAAUUAUCUUUUAAAAAAGGAUUUAAAACCACAAUACUAAACUGACACAGCUUUGCAUUGGAGAAAAAAGAAACGAGAUUCAGAAUUAUAAACUAACAAGUUUCAAAAGUUCAUUCUCAAUCCAAAUGUUAAGAUGCAAAAAAUUCAGGCAAAUUCCAUUCCACCAUCAGCUAUAAAUACUUG
RNAcentral lists this long non-coding RNA (233 nucleotides) under Citrus sinensis (sweet orange). RNAcentral describes it as "long non-coding RNA (CSIN_LNC003949)". Lineage: Eukaryota; Viridiplantae; Streptophyta; Magnoliopsida; Sapindales; Rutaceae. The record is from RNAcentral.